RNAcentral lists this ribosomal RNA (258 nucleotides) under uncultured bacterium. Its description in RNAcentral is "partial 16S ribosomal RNA". It matches the Rfam family "Bacterial small subunit ribosomal RNA", at positions 99 to 353 of the family's 1533-position model. The record is from RNAcentral.
CGAACGGGUGAGUAACGCGUAAUCAACCUGCCUCAAAGAGGGGGACAACAGUUGGAAACGACUGCUAAUACCGCAUAAGCCCACGGCUCGGCAUCGAGCAGAGGGAAAAGGAGCAAUCCGCUUUGAGAUGGCCUCGCGUCCGAUUAGCUAGUUGGUGAGGUAAUGGCCCACCAAGGCGACGAUCGGUAGCCGGACUGAGAGGUUGAACGGCCACAUUGGGACUGAGACACGGCCCAGACUCCUACGGGAGGCAGCAUG